AGACAUGCAAGUCGAACGGGAAACAUUUGAUAGUAAUAUUGGAUGUUUCUAGUGGCGAAAGGGUGCGUAACACGUGGGUAAUCUACCGUAAAGUUGGGAAUAACUUCGAGAAAUCGAUGCUAAUACCGGAUGUGAUUUAUUUGGGACAUCCCGAAUAAAUGAAAGCUGGGGACCUUCGGGCCUGGCGCUUUACGAUGAGCCCGCGGCCUAUCAGCUUGUUGGUAAGGUAACGGCUUACCAAGGCUAAGACGGGUAGCCGGUCUGAGAGGAUGGUCGGCCACACUGGAACUGAGACACGGUCCAGACACCUACGGGUGGCAGCAGUCGAGAAUCAUUCACAAUGGGGGAAACCCUGAUGGUGCGACGCCGCGUGGGGGAUGAAGGUCUUCGGAUUGUAAACCCCUGUCAUUUGUGAACAACCGUUUGAAUUUAAUAGAUUCAAACCUGAUAGUAGCGAAAGAGGAAGGGACGGCUAACUCCGUGCCAGCAGCCGCGGUAAUACGGAGGUCCCAAGCGUUGUUCGGAUUUACUGGGCGUAAAGGGUGCGUAGGUGGCCAGGAAAGUCUGAUGUGAAAGCCCCGAGCUCAACUCGGGAAUUGCAUUGGAUACUACUUGGCUUGAGGAUCGGAGGGGAGACUGGAAUUCUCGGUGUAGCAGUGAAAUGCGUAGAUAUCGAGAGGAACACCAGUGGCGAAGGCGAGUCUCUGGACGAUUCCUGACACUGAGGCACGAAAGCUAGGGGAGCAAACAGGAUUAGAUACCCUGGUAGUCCUAGCCGUAAACGGUGCACACUUGCUGUAGGCGGAUUCGACCCCGUCUGUGGCGGAGCAAACGCGUUAAGUGUGCCGCCUGGGGAGUACGGU
RNAcentral lists this ribosomal RNA (863 nucleotides) under uncultured Verrucomicrobiota bacterium. RNAcentral describes it as "bacterial SSU rRNA". It matches the Rfam family "Bacterial small subunit ribosomal RNA", at positions 51 to 886 of the family's 1533-position model. Lineage: Bacteria; Pseudomonadati; Verrucomicrobiota. The record is from RNAcentral.